GGGACACGUGGUAUCCUGUCUGAAUAUGGGGGGACCAUCCUCCAAGGCUAAAUACUCCUGACUGACCGAUAGUGAACCAGUACCGUGAGGGAAAGGCGAAAAGAACCCCGGCGAGGGGAGUGAAAAAGAACCUGAAACCGUGUACGUACAAGCAGUGGGAGCACCUUCGGGUGUGACUGCGUACCUUUUGUAUAAUGGGUCAGCGACUUAUAUUCUGUAGCAAGGUUAACCGUAUAGGGGAGCCGCAGGGAAACCGAGUCUUAACUGGGCGUUAAGUUGCAGGGUAUAGACCCGAAACCCGGUGAUCUAGCCAUGGGCAGGUUGAAGGUUGGGUAACACUAACUGGAGGACCGAACCGACUAAUGUUGAAAAAUUAGCGGAUGACUUGUGGCUGGGGGUGAAAGGCCAAUCAAACCGGGAGAUAGCUGGUUCUCCCCGAAAGCUAUUUAGGUAGCGCCUCGUGAAUUCAUCUUCGGGGGUAGAGCACUGUUUCGGCUAGGGGGUCAUCCCGACUUACCAACCCGAUGCAAACUACGAAUACCGAAGAAUGUUAUCACGGGAGACACACGGCGGGUGCUAACGUCCGUCGUGAAGAGGGAAACAACCCAGACCGCCAGCUAAGGUCCCAAAGUCAUGGUUAAGUGGGAAACGAUGUGGGAAGGCACAGACAGCCAGGAUGUUGGCUUAGAAGCAGCCAUCAUUUAAAGAAAGCGUAAUAGCUCACUGGUCGAGUCGGCCUGCGCGGAAGAUGUAACGGGGCUAAACCAUGCACCGAAGCUGCGGCAGCGACACUAUGUGUUGUUGGGUAGGGGAG
Molecule: ribosomal RNA, 814 nt
Filed under: Klebsiella pneumoniae
Lineage: Bacteria; Pseudomonadati; Pseudomonadota; Gammaproteobacteria; Enterobacterales; Enterobacteriaceae
Description: partial 23S ribosomal RNA
Rfam family: Bacterial large subunit ribosomal RNA
Source: RNAcentral